This 492-nucleotide ribosomal RNA is filed under the name uncultured bacterium. RNAcentral's name for it is "partial 16S ribosomal RNA". It matches the Rfam family "Bacterial small subunit ribosomal RNA", at positions 29 to 507 of the family's 1533-position model. The record is from RNAcentral.
AGUGAACGCUGGCGGUAGGCCUAACACAUGCAAGUCGAACGGCAGCACAGUAAGAGCUUGCUCUUACGGGUGGCGAGUGGCGGACGGGUGAGGAAUACAUCGGAAUCUACUUUUUCGUGGGGGAUAACGUAGGGAAACUUACGCUAAUACCGCAUACGACCUACGGGUGAAAGCAGGGGAUCUUCGGACCUUGCGCGAUUGAAUGAGCCGAUGUCGGAUUAGCUAGUUGGCGGGGUAAAGGCCCACCAAGGCGACGAUCCGUAGCUGGUCUGAGAGGAUGAUCAGCCACACUGGAACUGAGACACGGUCCAGACUCCUACGGGAGGCAGCAGUGGGGAAUAUUGGACAAUGGGCGCAAGCCUGAUCCAGCCAUACCGCGUGGGUGAAGAAGGCCUUCGGGUUGUAAAGCCCUUUUGUUAGGAAAGAAAAGCAGCAGGUUAAUACCCCGCUGUUCUGACGGUACCCAAGGAAUAAGCACCGGCUAACUUCGUG